This 553-nucleotide ribosomal RNA is filed under the name uncultured bacterium. RNAcentral's name for it is "partial 16S ribosomal RNA". It matches the Rfam family "Bacterial small subunit ribosomal RNA", at positions 355 to 900 of the family's 1533-position model. The record is from RNAcentral.
UAGGGAAUCUUCCACAAUGGACGCAAGUCUGAUGGAGCAACGCCGCGUGAGUGAAGAAGGUUUCGGACCGUAAAGCUCUGUUGUUGGUGAAGAAGGAUAGAGGUAGUAACUGGCCUUUAUUUGACGGUAAUCAACCAGAAAGUCACGGCUAACUACGUGCCAGCAGCCGCGGUAAAUCGUAGGUGGCAAGCGUUGUCCGGAUUUAUUGGGCGUAAAGCGAGCGCAGGCGGAAGAAUAAGUCUGAUGUGAAAGCCCUCGGCUUAACCGAGGAAUUGCAUCGGAAACUGUUUUCUUGAGUGCAGAAGAGGAGAGUAGAACUCCAUGUGUAGCGGUGGAAUGCGUAGAUAUAUGGAAGAAUACCAGUGGCGAAGGCGGCUCUCUGGUCUGCAACUGACGCUGAGGCUCGAAAGCAUGGGUAGCGAACAGGAUUAGAUACCCUGGUAGUCCAUGCCGUAAACGAUGAGUGCUAAGUGUUGGGAGGCUUCCGCCUCUCAGUGCUGCAGCUAACGCAUUAAGCACUCCGCCUGGGGGAGUACGACCGCAAGGUUGAAAC